AAGAUUUUGUGUACAGGAGGGUGCUCAGAACUUAAGCUUCACCAGCCUUCCAACACCUGGAAAACAGGUUUGGUGCCGGAUCUUCUGUUGUGGAAAUGAAGAUGCAGCUGGCCCUGGGCUAAAGCAGAUUCAAGGAAUUCCCUGCCCUUCAGAACUGCCAGAUUAUCCCCCAGGAAAUGGAGGCCAGGGCUUGCAAAGAUCUUCUCUUCCCAAGAUUUGUUGAGUGGUAUGGUGAAAUUCUGCAACCUAAAAUUCUCCAGAAAAUGUAUCUACUCUUUUCUCUCUCAUAUGUAGUUACUUCAGAGAGAAAACUCCAAAUUGGCUCUGAAGAUCUACAGGAGGAGGUGGCAGAUGCCAAGAUUGCCUUCUCAGAACUAGCCAGGCAUCCUCAGAAGGCCAAGGCAUUGAAGUCAGACAGGCCACCACUGUAAACUCCUUCCAGGAAAAGACCCUAUUGAGAUCAGGCUUCCUGUUCUCAGCCAACUGUGGUUGAGCAUGUUGCUAAUUCAGAAACAGCUGGGAGCAGAAUGAGUGCAUUACCCUCACACCUGAGCCUCUGUCUGGGUUGGAAGCCUUUCCAAUUACCCAUGGCCUCUUAUAAGAUGUGACUCAAUCAACUGUGAGUGAAAUGUUUGAUUGGAUGGUUUCCAUGGAGGUGUUGCCCCGCCCAUUCAGGGUGUGUUGGUUGGAUCACUGGAGUCGUAUAGAGGAUUUCACGGAAGGAGGGAACUUGGAGCAGCUGUGAGUGACAUUUUGGAGAGCAACUGAGAGUGAGGAAGAGGAGCUGCAGCUAAGACAGGACAAAAAGCCCCAAGAGCAACAUUUUGGAGAACAUCAUUUUGAAA
Choloepus didactylus (southern two-toed sloth) is the source of this 845-nucleotide long non-coding RNA. RefSeq lists it as uncharacterized. The record is from RefSeq and is a predicted model, not a curated record. NCBI's taxonomy places the organism in Eukaryota, Metazoa, Chordata, Mammalia, Pilosa, Megalonychidae. The transcript is spliced from 3 exons.